CAGUCGCCGCGGUAAUACAAAGGGUGCAAGCGUUAAUCGGAAUUACUGGGCGUAAAGCGUGCGUAGGCGGUUUGUUAAGUCUGCUGUGAAAUCCCCGGGCUCAACCUGGGAAUGGCAGUGGAUACUGGCAAGCUAGAGUGUGUCAGAGGAUGGUGGAAUUCCCGGUGUAGCGGUGAAAUGCGUAGAGAUCGGGAGGAACAUCAGUGGCGAAGGCGGCCAUCUGGGACAACACUGACGCUGAGGCACGAAAGCGUGGGGAGCAAACAGGAUUAGAUACCCCCGUAGUCCCUGUCUCUUAUAA
Molecule: ribosomal RNA, 301 nt
Filed under: uncultured bacterium
Lineage: Bacteria
Description: partial 16S ribosomal RNA
Rfam family: Bacterial small subunit ribosomal RNA
Source: RNAcentral